UACGAAGGGGGCUAGCGUUGCUCGGAUUACUGGGCGUAAAGGGCGCGUAGGCGGACAGUUAAGUCGGGGGUGAAAGCCCGGGGCUCAACCUCGGAAUUGCCUUCGAUACUGGCUGUCUUGAGUGUGAGAGAGGUGUGUGGAACUCCGAGUGUAGAGGUGAAAUUCGUAGAUAUUCGGAAGAACACCAGUGGCGAAGGCGACACACUGGCUCACUACUGACG
RNAcentral lists this ribosomal RNA (221 nucleotides) under uncultured bacterium. RNAcentral describes it as "partial 16S ribosomal RNA". It matches the Rfam family "Bacterial small subunit ribosomal RNA", at positions 524 to 745 of the family's 1533-position model. The record is from RNAcentral.